This 525-nucleotide ribosomal RNA is filed under the name uncultured bacterium. RNAcentral describes it as "bacterial SSU rRNA". It matches the Rfam family "Bacterial small subunit ribosomal RNA", at positions 17 to 518 of the family's 1533-position model. The record is from RNAcentral.
UUAUGGCUCAGGACGAACGCUGGCGGCGUGCCUAACACAUGCAAGUCGAACGGGGAUUUGUUUCGGCAGAAUCCUAGUGGCGAACGGGUGAGUAACGCGUAGGCAACCUGCCCUCCGGCCGGGGGACAACACUCCGAAAGGGGUGCUAAUACCGGAUACGAAGAUAAUACCGCAUGGUGAUAUUUUUGAAAGAUGGCCUCUAUUUAUAAGCUAUCGCCGGGGGAUGGGCCUGCGUCCGAUUAGCUGGUUGGUGGGGUAACGGCCUACCAAGGCGACGAUCGGUAGCCGGUCUGAGAGGAUGAACGGCCACAUUGGGACUGAGACACGGCCCAGACUCCUACGGGAGGCAGCAGUGGGGAAUCUUCCGCAAUGGGCGCAAGCCUGACGGAGCAACGCCGCGUGAGUGAGGAAGUUCUUCGGAACGUAAAGCUCUGUUGUUCCUGACGAACCUCCCCUUUAUCAACAACGGAGGGGACUGACGGUAGGGAACGAGGAAGCCACGGCUAACUACGUGCCAGCCGCAGC